This 837-nucleotide ribosomal RNA is filed under the name uncultured bacterium. RNAcentral's name for it is "bacterial SSU rRNA". It matches the Rfam family "Bacterial small subunit ribosomal RNA", at positions 96 to 953 of the family's 1533-position model. The record is from RNAcentral.
UGGCGCACGGGUGAGUAACACGUAGGUAACCUUCCCUUAAGAGGGGGACAACUCAGGGAAACUUGAGCUAAUACCCCAUAAGACCACGAACUGAGAUAUUUGUGGUAAAAGUAGCAAUACGCUUAUGGAUGGGCCUGCGGCCUAUCAGGUAGUUGGUGAGGUAACGGCCCACCAAGCCUAAGACGGGUAGCCGGACUGAGAGGUCGAUCGGCCACACUGGAACUGAGACACGGUCCAGACUCCUACGGGAGGCAGCAGUGGGGAAUUUUGCACAAUGGGCGAAAGCCUGAUGCAGCGACGCCGCGUGGAGGAUGAAGGCCUUCGGGUUGUAAACUCCUUUUGUAGGGGAAAAUAAUGAUGGUACCCUGCGAAUAAGCCACGGCUAACUCUGUGCCAGCAGCCGCGGUAAGACAGAGGUGGCAAGCGUUGUUCGGAAUUACUGGGCUUAAAGGGCGCGUAGGCGGUGAGAUAAGUCUGAGGUGAAAUCCUAUGGCUUAACCAUAGAAUUGCCUUGGGAACUGUUUUACUUGAGUCAGCGAGGGGAUGGUGGAAUUCCCGGUGUAGCGGUGAAAUGCGUAGAUAUCGGGAGGAAGGCCGGUGGCGAAGGCGGCCAUCUGGCGCUGAACUGACGCUGAGGCGCGAAAGCGUGGGUAGCAAACAGGAUUAGAUACCCUGGUAGUCCACGCCCUAAACGGUGGGUAUUAGGUGUAGGGCUCGUAAGGGUUCUGUGCCGAAAGGGAAACCAUUAAAUACCCCGCCUGGGGAGUACGGCCGCAAGGUUGAAACUCAAGGAAUUGACGGGGCCCGCACAAGCGGUGGAGCAUGUGGUUUAAUUCG